This 2076-nucleotide small RNA is filed under the name Cryptococcus neoformans H99. RNAcentral's name for it is "Cryptococcus neoformans var. grubii H99 hypothetical RNA". Lineage: Eukaryota; Fungi; Basidiomycota; Tremellomycetes; Tremellales; Cryptococcaceae. The record is from RNAcentral.
AUGAUUCUCACAGUGGCUAGACUUAAACCGCCGACCAAAAGUCCGAAAAUCCACCCUACGGGAGCUCUCCUAUGGCCCCACCAAGCCCACCAAACCCACAAGUACUCUUCAUAUGGAGGCCUCUCACAUUUAACUCGCAUAUCAACCUCUUCUCUUGGUUGUUUAGUAGCUGGAAAGGGUACAAGAUGGGAAAGAGGGAAAGAAAGUGCGAAGAAGAGAUAGAAGUGGAGAAAGGCGGUGACGAUUUGGAAGGUGGCGAGGAGCCAGGUGAAGAUUGUGAGGGCGGUGAGAAGGGAGGAAAGGUUAGAUAGAAUUGGACUUGGAAGAAGUUAGACAAGAGUGGCUGAUAAGGGAAGAGCAACUCACGUUUCCGGGAUGGUGAAUGAGCCUGACUCAUUUUUGAAAUCACCACUGCUAUACGCUUGACAUUCGGGGCUGCUUCUUGUUAGCCUUUGCUUACGUCCAAUUUAUAAACCAAGGCAACCCACUCAUCGGCACCCUGCACACACCACCCCCGAACACCUAGAGCGACGCCAUCCCCCUUUCCUGUGUCGCCUUGCGCUCCUUGGAACACACCAUUUCCUAUCUUGAGGAAGCCACUCAAUGAGCUAGAUGAAGUGGUGUUGCACAUGGUCAGAAUAAGCGCGCACGCCAGAGUCAGUAAUGGCAAAAUAAAAACCCGGUAAGUCAGGUAAAAGCGGACUGGUGCAGAGAGGACACGAUGUGGUGGGAGGCUAUCAUCGUCAUUAUCCUUUGACGCCUCACUUUUGCCGAAGGGCAAUCUCAGUCCCCUUCCAGGGUUACGUUGAGGAGGUAAUGUGUAACGUGCAGUAGCCAUUGACAUCCUUCCCAACCUCUGAUGUGCUUCAGGGGUAAGCAGCUUUGGCGAUGCGCCAGGGCCAUAGCCACGGUUACGGUUAUAUGCCUUUGUCAAAUCAGGCGUAGGCUGUGCGGCAUAGGGCGAUCGAUGACGAGUAAGACCUUGUCCUUCCUGUGGUGUUCCGUCAGUCGGGCUAUCUGCAAACGGGUCUUGAGGCCGGAAGGGAGACUGGGUUUGGUAAGACUCGGAGAUGGGUUCAGCCUUGAUAGCGGUUGGGGUUGCUGCUUUCUUGACGAGAUGGUCCAGAUCAAGGAUGGAAGGCAAGGUGGACCGCCUUUGUGUUAUGGGAAGGUAUCUUGGAUUUUCAAAGUCCGGUCCUGCUUUCACUCGUACCAUGGAGGGCAUAUUAUCCCUAUCACAAUACACAGCCGGAGUCAUCUCCCCAGGACUAUCCAUUACCCCUCCUUGAUCGAUCGCGUAUUCCACCCUUCCGUAACCCACACUUUCUGGAGGCGCCGAUAUUCGCUGCAACAUCAUCUGGUUGAGUCCUGUAUCAAAAACAGGCGGGAUCCAUUCUUCAUCUUCCUUGAUCCCUCCGAGUUUCGGAAAGUGCGUCAGAUGGGUACCUCCCGUGGUCGGUCCAGCCCAGGAAGACCGACUCCAACCAGUCGCACUCGUCUUGGGCUCUUCGUCCCAAUCACUCCGAUGAUACAGGUCAUCAUCAUCAUCGUCGUCAGCUUCCUCUGUCCCACCAAACUGGCUUUCUGGUGGAAUUGCAUCAUGCUUGCCCGGACCGGGUGUGGGUAAUGGGGGCGGCGGGGAUCCGGCGGCACGAGAUGGUAUGUGGCUAGGCUGGGACCAAGCAGCGUCCAGCUCCGAGUAGAGUGUAGGCGGGCCAGCUGUUGAAUAUUGGAAUGGUCGAUCUUCAUUAUCAAAGUCGGACGUUCCAGAGGGCGGUCGAGGGUAAGAAAGCGAUGUGGGGAGUGCGGUUGUUGGUGGAUACCAGGAGUAGGAGUCGCGCUGCGGCAUGAUAUAAGAAGCAGCCUGACCUGCAAGCUUGAAGAGCGACCUGCGGUGAGCAUGAGAUGGGCUUUCGUAAUUAUGAGCAGGACGCAUUCAGAGGUGGGAAUGUUAUACAAAGGAUGGGAAACAAAGGUGCUUGUCUAGUAUGCGCUGUGUCACAUUUAGGUAUAUCUGAAGGACAAGUUAGUAUCUAUGAGCCUGUAAACCAUAAUUAAUUGCAUCUUCGUUUUGAG